GACGAACGCUGGCGGCGUGCCUAAUACAUGCAAGUUGAGCGAUGAAGCUUGGUGCUUCCACCAAUUUGAAGAGCAGCGAACGGGUGAGUAACGCGUGGGGAAUCUGCCUUUGAGCGGGGGACAACAUUUGGAAACGAAUGCUAAUACCGCAUAACAACUUUAAACAUAAGUUUUAAGUUUGAAAGAUGCAAUUGCAUCACUCAAAGAUGAUCCCGCGUUGUAUUAGCUAGUUGGUGAGGUAAAGGCUCACCAAGGCGAUGAUACAUAGCCGACCUGAGAGGGUGAGCGGCCACAGUGGGACUGAGACACGGCCCAAACUCCUACGGGAGGCAGCAGUAGGGAAUCUUCGGCAAUGGACGAAAGUCUGACCGAGCAACGCCGCGUGAGUGAAGAAGGUUUUCGGAUCGUAAAACUCUGUUGGUAGAGAAGAACGUUGGUGAGAGUGGAAAGCUCAUCAAGUGACGGUAACUACCCAGAAAGGGACGGCUAACUACGUG
Molecule: ribosomal RNA, 497 nt
Filed under: uncultured bacterium
Lineage: Bacteria
Description: partial 16S ribosomal RNA
Rfam family: Bacterial small subunit ribosomal RNA
Source: RNAcentral